RNAcentral lists this ribosomal RNA (460 nucleotides) under uncultured bacterium. RNAcentral's name for it is "partial 16S ribosomal RNA". It matches the Rfam family "Bacterial small subunit ribosomal RNA", at positions 338 to 795 of the family's 1533-position model. The record is from RNAcentral.
CCUACGGGGUGCAGCAGUGAGGAAUAUUGGUCAAUGGACGAGAGUCUGAACCAGCCAAGUAGCGUGAAGGAUGACUGCCCUAUGGGUUGUAAACUUCUUUUAUAUGGGAAUAAAACGUUCCACGUGUGGGAUUUUGUACGUACCAUAUGAAUAAGGAUCGGCUAACUCCGUGCCAGCAGCCGCGGUAAUACGGAGGAUCCGAGCGUUAUCCGGAUUUAUUGGGUUUAAAGGGAGCGUAGGUGGAUUGUUAAGUCAGUUGUGAAAGUUUGCGGCUCAACCGUAAAAUUGCAGUUGAAACUGGCAGUCUUGAGUACAGUAGAGGUGGGCGGAAUUCGUGGUGUAGCGGUGAAAUGCUUAGAUAUCACGAAGAACUCCGAUUGCGAAGGCAGUUCACUGGACUGCAACUGACACUGAGGCUCGAAAGUGUGGGUAUCAAACAGGAUUAGAUACCCCAGUAGUC